RNAcentral lists this unclassified non-coding RNA (204 nucleotides) under Hevea brasiliensis (rubber tree). Lineage: Eukaryota; Viridiplantae; Streptophyta; Magnoliopsida; Malpighiales; Euphorbiaceae. The record is from RNAcentral.
GUUUAUGAGGAGAUUAAGCGGGAGAUUGAGGGAUUCAAAUUGGGCAACGAAGGUUCUAACAGAGGACAAAGAGCUCAAAUCAAGUGGCAUAACGAUGAUUCGUGAAUCAGAGCAUUCGGACUCGAUCCGAGCCUUGGUUUCCUCAGCUGCUUUGAGGUUCCGGGACGGGAGGAUUAAACGAGCCCCACGUUUGGCAAGAACCCG